RNAcentral lists this long non-coding RNA (1846 nucleotides) under Manacus vitellinus (golden-collared manakin). RNAcentral describes it as "lncRNA (ENSMVIG00005013816.1)". The record is from RNAcentral. Lineage: Eukaryota; Metazoa; Chordata; Aves; Passeriformes; Pipridae.
AUGACACACAGAAUAGCUUGGCUAAAUUCAGUACUGGAGUUAAUAGUUCCCAAUAUUUUUACUAAAUAUCCUCCCUUUGUAACCUGUAUCUUCACAAACAGGAACUGCAGAAAAACACUCAGGAAAAAGACCAUAGGGAAGUUCAAGUAUCUCUCCAGAAAAAUGGCAAAGGUGAUGGUUGGACCAGCCUAACCAUCAAAGAAUAAUAAUUCUGCAACCUGCUGACUGAUUGAGAAGGUCUUUAGGGUUUAUGUUCAAAUGCUACUUACAUCCAGUGAUGGGAAAGGUGUGUAUACCAUGAGACUAUCUGUGGAGGAACUCUCCUAAUGCUUUUUCUAAUCCCAGUUUGAAACUAAGCAGAGCACAUGUCAGAUUUGUCAUGCUGUGAUCUUGAACUGCUCUAUCAGACCAUACUGCAAUGAUCUACAGGUGCACACCACAGCAGCUUCAUGUGUCUUGAAGAGAGAUGAAAGACAACCUCACCUUUAAGACUGAAAAAUUCAGACUGCACUUAAGUUUGUGUUCACUGGGCAAAUGAAGACCACCCGCCCACAUAACAAGACUAGUACGGCCUUAUUUUGGGAAGUAAGAGUAUUUCAGAGGAGGACUGGCCAAAGUCCCAUGUGUCUAGGGGCACUGGCACCAGAUAUCAGUUGUCAGUCAUUGCUGGUAGCGAGAUUUAAUAGACAAUUUUAAGAUCUUCAGAUAAUAUGCACUGCAGCUUAAUUUUCUCCUCUCCCAGUUCCCCAAGAUUUGACCCUGCAUGUAUGACCACAAAUCUUGCUUUGAAAGAAGCAUCAAGUUGGCUGAGACAGAGAGAAUAGGUUUUUUUCCACUGCUUCCACACAUAGGCUUAAUAAGCUGAACUUCAGGCUCCAGAAACCUUUGCAUGAACAAGCUACGACAAAAGCUCUUCUUCCUCAAAGAGGCCAGAAUCAGUCAAGUCAUAAGCCAUUUGAACAGUUUUAGAUGCAAGUGCAAAAACAGGGCAAAGGAGCAAGACAGUGACCCAUAUUACUUCUUGAGAGUUUCAAGAAGUGCACAGCACUGGCACUUCUGAAUUAUGAGGGCUUGGAUUGUGGGACAGGAAGAAGUAUUCCUCAGAAAGACCUUCUAACUUGAAAGAAAAAUCUGUUUCAUUAGACAAAGUUACAGCUCCUGCUGCUUUGAGAACUGCCCAGUUGCUCACCUCAUUUUAGGAGACUGAGACACCUAAAUUUAUACUGUAUCUAUUUGAUGUGUACAAGUGUUGUUUACACUCCACUUUGCUGAAGCGAGAAGAUAUUUAAGUCAUAACCAAUGAAUAUUGCAUGAACACUACUUAAGCAAAAAACUGAAAUGUCUUUUAUGACAUAUUUUGGUGAUGCAGUAUGAACAAGAGGAUAACACAGAGACAAGAUAUCCAUCAGCUAAGAAUAUCCUUGCUAACUGAUGCCCUAAAAUAGUUCUUAAGGAACAGCCACAAGCAUGGUCAAGUCUUGCUGUAGCUUUACUUGGUUUCAUUUUUCUUUGAAGGAAAAAGGAAACCUGGAUUUACUAACAAGGGGAAUGUGCAGAUAUCCACAGUUCAUUGUAACAGGCCAAGGUGUCUGGCCUAAGGCAAAUGAAAGAAACUUCCUGAUAUGACAAUGCACCUUUGCUACAAUAGUUAAUUAUUGCUUUAUUAAACCAAAAAUCCACCUCUCCACCCUACUGAAGUUCAGGGACAGGGCAGUCCAGAAGGCUUGUUCCCCUGUAUUAUCAGACUGAAGUCCUGCUGCUUGUUUCACCCUUAAGUUAUAAAUUAAAGUGCCUGGAACACAGACCAAGGCUGAAGCAAUAAAGUGCUGAUGUGGGAAUUGUGACA